Long non-coding RNA from Juglans regia (Persian walnut), 239 nucleotides. RefSeq lists it as uncharacterized. The transcript is spliced from 3 exons. NCBI's taxonomy places the organism in Eukaryota, Viridiplantae, Streptophyta, Magnoliopsida, Fagales, Juglandaceae. The record is from RefSeq and is a predicted model, not a curated record.
CUCCAGCCGUAAAAUUAUUGUUGAAAUGAUCCCUCCUGUUUUCAAGGGCUUUCUCCUGGCAUAGACGAGUUGGUCAAGAUGCUGAAGGCUAAUAAUACCACUGUUUACCUUAUCUCUGGAGGCUUUCGUCCAAUGAUCAAUCCUGUUGCAUCAGUCCUUGGGAUUCCACAUGAAAACAUCUUUGCCAAUCGAUUGCUAUUUGGAAGUUCUGGGGAGUUUGUGGGGUUUGACACCAAGGA